RNAcentral lists this ribosomal RNA (450 nucleotides) under uncultured bacterium. RNAcentral describes it as "partial 16S ribosomal RNA". It matches the Rfam family "Bacterial small subunit ribosomal RNA", at positions 338 to 795 of the family's 1533-position model. The record is from RNAcentral.
CCUACGGGUGGCUGCAGUAAGGAAUAUUGGUCAAUGGACGAAAGUCUGAACCAGCCAUCCCGCGUGCAGGAUGAAAGCCCUAUGGGUUGUAAACUGCUUUUAGCAGAGAAGAAAAGCUUUCAUUAAUGAGAGUCUGACGGUAUCUGCAGAAUAAGCACCGGCUAACUCCGUGCCAGCAGCCGCGGUAAUACGGAGGGUGCGGGCGUUAUCCGGAAUUACUGGGUUUAAAGGGUAGUAAGGCGUCAGUGUAGAAGUCUUGUCGCUUAACUAUAAAAUGGCCAAUGAUACUGGUACUCUUGAAUUGGGUUGAGGUUAGCGGAAUGUGACAUGUAGCGGUGAAAUGCAUAGAUAUGUCAUGGAACACCAAUUGCGAAGGCAGCUAACUGGGCCUUGAUUGACGCUGAGGCACGAAAGCGUGGGUAGCGAACAGGAUUAGAUACCCGUGUAGUC